RNAcentral lists this long non-coding RNA (1111 nucleotides) under Salvia miltiorrhiza (redroot sage). Its description in RNAcentral is "long non-coding RNA (SMIL_LNC009268)". Lineage: Eukaryota; Viridiplantae; Streptophyta; Magnoliopsida; Lamiales; Lamiaceae. The record is from RNAcentral.
AUAUAUAUUUAUAUAUUUUUUAAAAGUCAAUUUAAAAUCAAAUAGUUGAUUUUUAUAUAUAUAUUAUACACAGGUGAAGUCAAUUAUCGAGUAAUUAUCUUGAAGCCAGGUUGGUAAUUAUACACAGCUCAUUCACUAAAAUCAGCGCCGCACAGCUCAUAUUGAAUAUACUAAAAAGUACUCCAAAACCUAAACCUAAUUCACUAAAACUUAAUUCAGCGCCUCCUCACUUCAGUCCUCAACCUCAUUCCUCAAAUCAGCGCCGCACAGCUCCCGCCUGCACCUGAACCUCGUCGCCCCACCCCCGCCGCAGAUCUGCGCUUGCACCGCGCCGCCUGCACCUGAACCUCGUCGCCCCAACCCCGCCGCAGAUCUGCGCUUGCACCGCGCCGCCUGAACCUGAACCUCGUAGCCUGCACCGCGCCGCUCGUCGCGCCUGCAUCUGCACCGCGUCGCCGCGGAGAAGUCGGAAUCGCGGGAGCAGCGGCGCGGAAUCUACCUCCCAUAAGAUUUGCUAUAGAUGUUGAUGAUUUUUUUUGUUUUUGUUUUCAUUAGUUGCAGUGAGGGGAGGUUCACAAGAUUUUCAAUAGCUUGAGUUUGUUGUUGAGUUUGUUUCAAUAGCUUGGCAGAUUUUUAUGUUUCUAUUGUUGUUUCUGGUUUUGCUUAAGAUUUCAGUGAAUUGGAGAUGCUACUGCUCCGAUCUUGUUGAUCUUGUCUCCUGGCUUGGUAAUUUGGUUCUAGGAUUAAAGGCGCUGAAAUUUAAUUUGGGGAAAAUUUGAUUUGGGGGAAAUUUGAUUUGGGGGAAAUUUGAACAAUUUUUUUUUCCUUCAGAAUUUCGAAUCAAAUAUUUUCGAAUCGAAUAGUAUAGAAUACAAGUCGAAUACUCGAAUCGAAUAUUUGAAUCGAAUAUUUUUCAAAAAAAAAUUAAGGUACUUUCAUAAGACGAAUCGAAUACUCGAAUCGAAUAAUUCGAAAAUAGCAACGAAUCGAAUAACGAAUCGAAUUUGGUAUUCGAAUUCGAAUCGAAUCACGAAUCGAAUAUUAGUAUCAUUUCACGAAUACGAAUCGAAUAUGGUGAUAUUCGCUUCGAUUCGAUUCGAUUACAACCCUA